This 270-nucleotide ribosomal RNA is filed under the name uncultured archaeon. Its description in RNAcentral is "partial 16S ribosomal RNA". It matches the Rfam family "Archaeal small subunit ribosomal RNA", at positions 477 to 747 of the family's 1478-position model. The record is from RNAcentral.
CAGCUCUCCGAGUAGUGUGGAUGUUUAUUGGGCCUAAAGCAUCCGUAGCUUGCUAAGCAAGUCCCCUGUUAAAUCCACCGAUUCAAUCGUUGGAUUGCGGGGGAUACUGUUUGGCUAGGGGACGGGAGAGGUCGACGGUAUUUCCGGGGUAGGGGUGAAAUCCUAUAAUCCCGGGAGGACCACCAGUGGCGAAGGCUGUCGACUAGAACGCGCCCGACGGUGAGGGAUGAAAGCUGGGGGAGCGAACCGGAUUAGAUACCCGAGUAGUCC